GGAGGGUGCAAGCGUUAUCCGGAUUCACUGGGUUUAAAGGGUGCGUAGGAGGGCAGGUAAGUCAGUGGUGAAAUCUCCAAGCUUAACUUGGAAACUGCCGUUGAUACUAUCUGUCUUGAAUAUUGUGGAGGUGAGCGGAAUAUGUCAUGUAGCGGUGAAAUGCUUAGAUAUGACAUAGAACACCAAUUGCGAAGGCAGCUCACUACUCAAUCAUUGACUCUGAGGCACGAAAGCGUGGGGAUCAAACAGGAUUAGAUACCCUGGUAGUCCACGCCCUAAACUAUGGAUACUCGACAUACGCGAUAUACAGUGUGUGUCUGAGCGAAAGCAUUAAGUAUCCCACCUGGGAAGUACGACCGCAAGGUUG
This 367-nucleotide ribosomal RNA is filed under the name uncultured bacterium. RNAcentral describes it as "bacterial SSU rRNA". It matches the Rfam family "Bacterial small subunit ribosomal RNA", at positions 527 to 896 of the family's 1533-position model. The record is from RNAcentral.